UACGUAGGUGACAAGCGUUGUCCGGAUUUACUGGGCGUAAAGAGCGCGCAGGCGGUCGUUCAAGUCGAGUGUGAAAGCCCCCGGCUCAACUGGGGAGGGUCAUUCGAUACUGAUCGACUCGAAGGCAGGAGAGGGUAGUGGAAUUCCCGGUGUAGUGGUGAAAUGCGUAGAUAUCGGAAGGAACAUCAGUGGCGAAAGCGGCUUCCUGGACCAGCACCGACGUUCAGGCACGAAAGCGUGGGGAGCAAACAGG
This 253-nucleotide ribosomal RNA is filed under the name uncultured bacterium. RNAcentral's name for it is "partial 16S ribosomal RNA". It matches the Rfam family "Bacterial small subunit ribosomal RNA", at positions 524 to 776 of the family's 1533-position model. The record is from RNAcentral.